This 468-nucleotide ribosomal RNA is filed under the name uncultured bacterium. Its description in RNAcentral is "partial 16S ribosomal RNA". It matches the Rfam family "Bacterial small subunit ribosomal RNA", at positions 28 to 507 of the family's 1533-position model. The record is from RNAcentral.
GACGAACGCUGGCGGCGUGCUUAACACAUGCAAGUCGAACGGAAAGGCCCUGCUUUUGUGGGGUGCUCGAGUGGCGAACGGGUGAGUAACACGUGAGUAACCUGCCCUUGACUUUGGGAUAACUUCAGGAAACUGGGGCUAAUACCGGAUAGGAGCUCCUGCUGCAUGGUGGGGGUUGGAAAGUUUCGGCGGUUGGGGAUGGACUCGCGGCUUAUCAGCUUGUUGGUGGGGUAGUGGCUUACCAAGGCUUUGACGGGUAGCCGGCCUGGGAGGGUGGCCGGCCUCCAUGCGACUGCGAUACGGACCAGACGGCUACGGGAGACAGCAGGCGGGAAUAUUGCACAAUGGGCGGGAGCCUGAUGCAGCAGCGCCGCGUGCGGGAUGACGGCCUUCGGGUUGUAAACCGCUUUCGCCUGUGACGAAGCGGGAGUGACGGUAAUGGGUAAAGAAGCACCGGCUAACUACGUG